This is an RNA transcript of Sapajus apella (tufted capuchin), 5717 nucleotides long. It is a transcript of the gene named regulator of nonsense transcripts 3B pseudogene, with no coding region annotated. The transcript has a single exon. NCBI's taxonomy places the organism in Eukaryota, Metazoa, Chordata, Mammalia, Primates, Cebidae. The record is from RefSeq and is a predicted model, not a curated record.
CGAGCCGCCUCUGUGACGGACGUAGCCAUGAAGGAAGAGGAGCACAGGCCCAAGGAGAAGCGAGUAACCCUGUUAACGCCCCCUGGAGCCACAGGCAGCAGUGGUGGGACUUCAGGGGACAGUUCCAAGGGGGAAGAUAAACAGGAUUGCAACAAGGAGAAGAAAGAGGCGCUGAGCAAGGUGGUAAUUCGAAGAUUACCUCCCACUUUGACCAAGGAGCAGCUUCAGGAACAUCUUUAACCUAUGCCUGAACAUGAUUAUUUUGAGUUUUUUUCUAAUGAUAUGAGUCUGUAUCCUCAUAUGUAUGCCAGAGCAUACAUCAACUUUAAAAACCAAGAGGACGUUAUUUUACUCAGGGAUCGCUUUGAUGGUUAUGUAUUCCUUGACAAUAAUGGUCAGGAAUAUCCUGCUAUGGUAGAAUUUGCACCUUUUCAAAAAGCUGCAAAAAAGAAGACUAAGAGAAGAGAUACCAGAGUCAGGACUAUUGAUGAUGAUCCAGAAUAUAGAAAGUUUUUGGAAAGUUAUGCCAUGGAUAAUGAGAAAAUGACAUCUACUCCAGAGACACUGCUAGAGGAAAUAGAAGCAAAAAAUAGAGAAUUAAUAGCUAAAAAGACAACCCCACUUUUGGGCUUCCUGAAAAACUAGCAGAGAAUGAGAAAAGAAAGAAGGAGAGAAAUAGAAAGAAAAAGGCAAAGAGAAGAAGAGAGGAGGAAAUGGAAAGAAGAGGAGAAACGAAAGCUAAAGAAGAUAAGACAGAAUAUUCCAGAAAGGGACAAAUUAAAGGAUGAACCAAAGAUUAAGCUGCUCAAGAAGCCAGAAAAAGGAGAUGAAAAAGAAAGCCAAGACAUUGGACAAAGAGAAUCUCAGUGAUGAAAGAGCCAGUGGGCAAAGUUGUACAUUGCCCAAGCGUUCUGAUAGAGAAUUUAAAGAUGAAAAACCAAAGAGACCUGAAGAUGAGAGCAGCGGAGACUACAGGGAGAGGGAACGGGAUUAUGAACGAGAUCAGGAGCGCAUACUUCGAGAAGAAGAGGCUGAAGCGGCGAGAAGAGCGCCAUAGGCAGAAGGAAUCCUAUGAGAAAGAGAAGACUUUUAAGAGAAAAGAAGAAAUGAAAAAGGAGAAAGAAACACUUUGGGAUAAAGGAAAGAAGGCCGAAAGUACAGAAUCAAUAGGAAGCUCAGAAAAAACUGAAAAGAAAGAAGUGGUCAAGAAAUUGAAUAAGAAACAAGGAUUGUCCAGCAAUGCAGCUUUACCAACCAGGAGCUCGAAGCCGAAAUCGACUCUGUCCCCCUGAUGACAGCACCAAGUCUGGUGACUCAGCAGUAGAACGGAAGCAGGAAAGUGGUAUUAGUCAUAGAAAAGACGGAGGAGAGGAGUGAUAAGUACAGAUGGCCUUAGGUGUCCUGACUGUCUAGGCAGCCAAAGAGCACACGUUAAGCAAUCCAGAAGUGCCUUCAGGGCAAAGGAAUAGAGAGAAAGGGGGUCGCUGUGCUGGUGGGGUACACUGCAGAGGAGUUACUCUUGUGUCAAAGCAGGAAUAUGAUCAGAGGUUCAGAAUUGGAAGUACGAUUUCAUUGCUUUUGCAAUUUCUACAAAUUACUUUUAAAGUGUCAGAAAAAGGUGAUGGUGAGGACAUGCAUUGCAAUUUGCAGGGGGGAAUAUCAAGUGAGGACUUCAUCACGUGUGACACGAGAGAAAAGUAAGAGCUGGUUCUAAACCAAAAGCUGUUGUUCAUCCUGAAUUGAAUUUUCUUAAUUUGGGUGGAGCAGAGUCGCUUUGAAGCCUUGUUCCAAUCUAGUUCUAUUUCAUUGUUGAUGAUAACUGUUGACUUUGUGUAGUGUAGAAACAAUAAGCAUAUGUCCUUGUAGUAAAAGUACAGGGAAGGAUAGAUCAUACUUUCGUUGAUGCAAAAAAUUUAAAUAGUUAAUGUUAAUUCUGUACCCAAUGUCCUCAAGUUUUAGGAUUAGUUUUAGUUUUUUGUUUGCUUACAUGAGCUUAGCAUAAAGAAUAUUUUUAAACAUCUCGUUUUGUCUUCAGCAUUUUUUCUAUUAAGAGGUAAAAUGUAGUCCUUGUUUGAUUCUUGACAAUUCAGUGUGUGUUUGAUCUUAGGUCUCAUGAUAUGAGUGCAUACCAUCUCAAGGAAGGAAACUGCACCAAUGUCUAUUCGUGUUAAAUAGCAACUUUUACUCUCAGCUUGUUUCGUUUUGAUGCCAAUAAAUAGUAACAGAAAAAACAACAACAACAAAAAAAACCUAAGAACCAGAAGGGCCAUCUGCGUUAUUUAAUCACCAUUAAAUAAUACCUUCCCUCCCCAUACCUGCUUAACUGUCCCACAAGUCUCCUGUGUUUUAUAAAGAUGUGGGCUAUUUUCUGAAAUGCAGAUGGGACUAGGAUGAAGCUGUGUUAUCAAUCACAGCCAACUCUUAUUUCUCUUAAAGCAAAAAUUCAUCCCACUGUGAUUUUUCCAGGUAUUUCCUGCAAAUCUAAAUCCAUGCUCGAUAACAAAGAAUAUUAAAAUCACACAGUUGUGGCAAAAAUCACAUUGUGGCUAUUAAAUCCUUUUUGUGAACUAAAAAAAAGUAAAUGUGGCUUAGGCUAAGCUGUUGUUUUUUAAGAUGAGGAUGGGGACUUCAACAAAGGCAAUAAUAAAGUACUAGAUGAAAAUGUGAAAUAUGUGAAGGAUAAUGCGAAACAUACACCCAGGUCUAACAAAUACCUAUUACUUCUCUGGUUAAGAAAUUUUGGCAGGAACCUCCAAUGAGCACUGUAUGUGAAGAAAAGGGAAGGGGAAGGAGGAUGAUGAACAAAUCGGCACAGAAUUUUCUUCUUCUUUUAAAAAACCACAAAGGGUGACUUUUUUCUUCUAAGCAACAAAGCCAAGAGGCAUUACAUGGGCUGACUCCUAAGAACAAAACAAAAUAUUUCUUUGCCACAAAGGAACUUGACUAUGUAGCAACACAUUUACAAAACUACUGCAAAAUACCCCCAGAGGGCAGUGACCUACUCUGCUCCCCAGAGGCUGCAAGAAACAAGGCCUCAAGGGCCUCACUGUUCCAUGGGGCUGUGCAGCGCAAUGCGGAAGGCAGAAAUCCUGCUGUGCUGCCACCCUCCAGACCUUCUGCAGACUGAGAGGGGGUGAGACUCCCACACCCUUUGAUCCUUCCAGAUGGCUCAGCCUAGACCUAGCAGUGAGAGCCCUCUCCAUGCAGGGCAGAUGGAGUGGUGGACACUUGUGAAAACAAAACAGUCAAUUCACUAACUGUUCCAUCCUGUUAUGUUUGUUAUGAGCAAAAUCAAGAUUCCUGUUUCAUGGGCUGCACUGUUUCUGGAAGGCUACAGAAAAUCUAACAUGGUUGAUACCUCCUGGCAGCCCUUGUCUCACACACACGCACCCACACACACCCAAGGGGAGAGACAGAGAAAAUCCUGGUCCAUAAGAUCACAUGACCUUAUUAGUGUUUCCCCAGUGGCUGUAAUUUAUAAACUAGAAAAUUUUUUAAGUCCACUGCUAUCUUUCUCUGUCCUGAGUUUGGUAGACUUUAAUGGAUGCUCUAGUAAUAACCAGAAUCUGGGACAUGCAAAUUCCCUGUGAGCGAGAGGCUAGGGAUCUGCCCGAAACACAGGAACCUGUUUCUACCAAGCCUGAAUGAGAUCAGCACUGGCAGAAUUAAUGACAAAUCAAUGUCAAUGAAAUAUUCUGCAAAUAGGGUAGUUUUUGUGCUUUCUUUUGCUUCUGUUCUUUGGGGAGAUAAAGGUAUUGCAACCAUGGGUCUAACUAAUCUAUCAUUAAAGGACUAUGAUGACAUUGGUAAAGACAGCCACGCUGUUCACGUGCCAGGGAGCAAAAACACCAAUCCCAGAUCACCAGAAUCCCAGUGCAACAGAAAAUAGCACCAGUUUCAACAAUUCUGAUGUUGGACAAAGCCUCCUUUUGUCAGUUAAGAAAGCAUCAGCACAAUCUCUCCAGUUAAUUGCAUUAAUAGGAAUCCAUUCAUGUCACUAAACAAUACUUGCUGGCACAGUUCACUUUCCUGACCUAAAGACACCAACAAUAAUCAAAACUGCACUUUUGGGGUAGUAUAUUGUUACACUAGCCCAGUCAAAACACACUCAGGUCAUUAAAAAAAUGUAAAAAUUACUGUUAGUACUGCAGUUCUGUUUUAUUUUCUUAUUUUUCUAUUGAGAUAGAGUCUCGCUCUGUUGCCCAGGCUGGAGUGCAGUGGCAUGAUCUUGGCUCACUGCAACCUUCACCUCCCAGGUUCAAACGAUUCCCAUGGCUCAGCCUCCCAAGUAGCUGGGAUUACAGGUGUACACCAUCACAUCUGGCUAAUUUUUGUAUUUCUACGAGAGACGGGGUUUCACCAUGUUGGCCAGGCUGGUCUCCAACUCCUGGCCUCAAGUGAUUCACCUGCCCUGGCCUCUCAAAGUGCUAGGGUUACAGGCUUGAGCCACUGCACCUGGCCCUCUAGUUCCUUUUUAAAGAGUACUGACUAUUUUCCUGCAAAGUACUUUCAAAUCCAUACCAUAAAGGUAGAAUUUAUCUGGAAGAAUGUGUUUCUUGAAUUUCACUUAGCAUGUGGUUAAAUCUACUUUAUUUUCCCCUUUAUUUAUUUGAACAGAACUUCAGAAUGCUUUAAGUGAGGAUAAGAAACAGUGUGUUCACUUUUAAGAAGAAUGUGUGAAUAGCAAGUUGGCAUUCAGACUCAAGCCCCACGGUGCUGUUCUUAUCCAAUGGGACCUUUCCCUGGGGAUGUAAUUCCUUUCCUAGAGGUAUCAUGGUAUCCCAAGAUUACAACUGCUCUUUGGCCCUGUGUUUCAAGACUGGGAGAGAGGAUAUAAACUAAGAGUAGAGAGCAAAAUUUAACGUUCACCAAAUGAUGUUCCCAAAAGUGCUGAACGCAAAGUGACACAGGGCUACAAGAUCCAUUUCUUUUAGUGGGAUGGAAAAGUAAAAGCUUUUCUAAGUUUAAGUGCUUUAUUGGAAUUUUUAAAUAAGGAGAACUACGAUUUUAAUUUCACAUCUUGGCUAAGGAGAUGCCACUGGAGUACGGAGACAAUCUCGUGUCCUAAGCCAGGGAUCAAUGAGUGUACCCCUUUCUAUGCCUCAAUCUCAAGACCCUCUUACUUUCCAACCAAACAACACAACUGGCAAAUGAAGCCAGCAUGAAGCCUGUAUAAAAAACCAACAAGAGAGUCUGCAGUGAGCCAGUGUAUUAUGUAGCCACUCUAAUAAAUGAUUACGUGGCUUCCCAUGUGGACCUUUCACAUCCUGGUGGGAGAUGGGAGACCAAUUUAAUAGCUCUGAGCAUGCUCCAUGAUGCAAUCAUAAGUGCCGCACCAUUACAAAGACACGCAAGCACCUGAAUUUCUCCCACAUACUUUUCAGGAACACGGUUACCCAGUGUGGGGACAGGACUGCAUCGAUGCACCUGCAAAGUAUAGUUGGAUGCUUCAGAGCACAAGGAUGAUAUCCAGGUCAGCACAGUGUAAGGCAUAUAUGGACAGGAAGAGAGGCCAUUGUGGGCAAUAAGUAGCAUUACAGGAAAGAUUCCAAACCAGCAGGACAGAAACAGUGCCUAUGCUCCAGUUUUUUAGAUAAGUAAUCCCAAGAAUCCAGUUCACCCUACUGUCAACAUGUGGGGCAGAAUUCAAUUUCUAUCAUUGUUUUUCCAGAUCUGGGCUGAGGCCAUUUGCUCAUAGCUUGGUUUAAAAAAAAAAA